AUUGAACGCUGGCGGAAUGCUUUACACAUGCAAGUCGAGCGGCAGCGCGGGGGCAACCCUGGCGGCGAGCGGCGAACGGGUGAGUAAUACAUCGGAACAUGUCCAGUUGUGGGGGAUAGCCCGGCGAAAGCCGGAUUAAUACCGCAUGAGCUCUGGCGAGGAAAGCGGGGGACCCGUAAGGGCCUCGCGCGACUGGGUUGGCCGAUGUCCGAUUAGCUAGUUGGUGGGGUAAAGGCUCACCAAGGCGAUGAUCGGUAGCUGGUCUGAGAGGAUGAUCAGCCACACUGGGACUGAGACACGGCCCAGACUCCUACGGGAGGCAGCAGUGGGGAAUUUUGGACAAUGGGGGAAACCCUGAUCCAGCCAUUCCGCGUGAGUGAAGAAGGCCUCGGUUGUAAG
Molecule: ribosomal RNA, 399 nt
Filed under: uncultured bacterium
Lineage: Bacteria
Description: bacterial SSU rRNA
Rfam family: Bacterial small subunit ribosomal RNA
Source: RNAcentral